UACGAAGGGUGCAAGCGUUACUCGGAAUUACUGGGCGUAAAGCGUGCGUAGGUGGUGAGUUAAGUCUGAUGUGAAAUCCCCGGGCUCAACCUGGGAAUGGCAUUGGAUACUGGCUCGCUAGAGUGCGGUAGAGGGUGGUGGAAUUCCCGGUGUAGCAGUGAAAUGCGUAGAGAUGUGGAGGAACACCGAUGGCGAAGGCAGCCUCCUGGGCCAGCACUGACGCUCAUGCACGAAAGCGUGGGGAGCAAACAGG
Molecule: ribosomal RNA, 253 nt
Filed under: uncultured bacterium
Lineage: Bacteria
Description: partial 16S ribosomal RNA
Rfam family: Bacterial small subunit ribosomal RNA
Source: RNAcentral